CAUGUGACAACCAUCUCACAAUAUUAAAGGACAUAUAAACUAAAAUACAAAAAAACAACAUCACUUCUGUUUAGAACAUCUAUCUUUGUGCAUACACAAAUAAUACAUGGUGAUCAGACUAAAACAUUACUUAUUUCAUUACAAUGUUUGUCUAUGACUUCAAUAUAAUUUUCAUAAUUAUGUUCAUGAUUGCUUAAAAGCUUCAGCAAACUUGAUUGUUAGUUGUAAAUUUUUUUACUGUUUUUAUCUACAAACAUAA
Molecule: long non-coding RNA, 259 nt
Filed under: Mytilus galloprovincialis (Mediterranean mussel)
Lineage: Eukaryota; Metazoa; Mollusca; Bivalvia; Mytilida; Mytilidae
Source: RNAcentral